Molecule: ribosomal RNA, 434 nt
Filed under: uncultured rumen bacterium
Lineage: Bacteria
Description: bacterial SSU rRNA
Rfam family: Bacterial small subunit ribosomal RNA
Source: RNAcentral
AACGCGAAGAACCUUACCUGGGCUUGACAUCCAGCUGCGCGGACCGUGAAAGCGGUCCUCCUUCGAGGGAGCUGGACAGGUGCUGCAUGGCUGUCGUCAGUUCGUGCCGUGAGGUGUUUGAUUAAGUCCACCAACGAACGCAACCCCUUUGAGCAGUUGCCAGCGGGCGAUGCCGGGAACUCUGCUCAGACUGCCCGUUUACGCGGGAGGAAGGUGGGGAUGACGUCAAGUCAGUAUGGCCCUUACGCCCAGGGCUGCACACGUGCUACAAUGGCCGGUACAGAGGGAUGCGAAGCCGCGAGGCGGAGCGAACCCCACAGAGCCGGCCCAGUUCAGAUCGGGGUCUGCAACCCGACCCCGUGAAGUCGGAUUUGCUAGUAACGGCGCAUCAGCAUUUGGUGCCGUGAAUGCGUUCCCGGGUCUUGUACGCACCG